GAAGGCUUGCAACUUCCAGAGGAAGACUUGGGCAGCAAAUUGCAGUUAAUUUCCAUCAGUUUCAGCUCUUAGCUCAGAAGAGGCUACCCAUCCCCCCACCAUCUAGCCCAAUGGCAGGUAGCUGUGCACAUAUUCCUGGAGUAGCUUGCAGGAACCAGGAUAAGGAAACUGAGGAUCAGAGGCAUUAAGCAAUUUUUAAGGCCAUACAGCCAGCUGGGAUUUGAAGCAAGUCUGCCAGAUUCACAGAAAGUCCUAUGCUUCCUGGAUACAUGGCAGUCAGCCUUUGAUCUUGGUGCCUCUGGUUAGCUGCAUGCUGUAAGUUAUCCCUCCUCAAGCUAAUUCUGGGCAAUGAUGAAAUCUACAUCCCUUCCCUCUUCACGCUCUUUAUCACAAACCUCCUGUCCAGUCUGACAUGAGUCGGACCAGCUCUCCCGCAGGGACUCACAGAACUCACUAAUCCUUUAAAAAGAAGGGGGACUUCAGGUUAUAGUUAGUCCUAGAGUUAUGAUGUUAAUCCUAUAAAUCAACCACCC
Molecule: long non-coding RNA, 533 nt
Filed under: Equus caballus (horse)
Lineage: Eukaryota; Metazoa; Chordata; Mammalia; Perissodactyla; Equidae
Description: lncRNA (ENSECAG00000050630.1)
Source: RNAcentral